This 424-nucleotide ribosomal RNA is filed under the name uncultured bacterium. RNAcentral describes it as "partial 16S ribosomal RNA". It matches the Rfam family "Bacterial small subunit ribosomal RNA", at positions 359 to 775 of the family's 1533-position model. The record is from RNAcentral.
GAAUAUUGCACAAUGGGGGAAACCCUGAUGCAGCCAUGCCGCGUGUGUGAAGAAGGCCCUAGGGUUGUAAAGCACUUUCAGUGGGGAGGAAAGGAUGUUGGUUAAUACCCAGCAUCUAUGACGUUACCAACAGCAGAAGCACCGGCUAACUCCGAGCCAGCCGCCGCGGUGAUACGGAGGGUUCGAGCGUUAAUCGGAAUUACGGGGCGUAAAGCGCGCGUAGGCGGCUGUCUAAGCUAGAUGUGAAAGCCGCGGGCUUAACCUGGGAACUGCAUUUAGAACUGGACUGCUAGAGUACAGCAGAGUAGUGUGGAAUUUCAGGUGUAGCGGUGAAAUGCGUAGAGAUCUGAAGGAACAUCAGUGGCGAAGGCGACACUCUGGGUUGAUACUCACGCUGAGGUGCGAAAGCGUGGGGAGCAAACAG